CACCGCGGUUAUACGAGAGACCCAAGUUGAUAAGCAUCGGCGUAAAGAGUGGUUAUGAAUUAGACUGAAAACUAAAGCCAAAUGCCCCCAAAGCUGUUAUACGCACCCGGAGGCCAGAAACCCAACCACGAAAGUGGCUUUAUCUCAUCUGAACCCACGAAAGCUAUGGUA
This 171-nucleotide ribosomal RNA is filed under the name Bodianus izuensis. RNAcentral's name for it is "partial 12S rRNA". The record is from RNAcentral. Lineage: Eukaryota; Metazoa; Chordata; Actinopteri; Labriformes; Labridae.